GACGAACGCUGGCGGCGUGCCUAAUACAUGCAAGUCGAACGAGAGCGCCCGGUUCUUGCUCUGCUCAAUCUAGAGGCGAACGGGUGAGUAACAUGUGGGUAACCUGCCUUUCAGAGGGGGAUAACAUUCGGAAACGGAUGCUAAAACGGCAUAGGUCCUCGAACCGCAUGGUUGGAAGAGGUAAGGAGGCGCAGGUUUCUGCUGAUGGAUGGACCUGCGGUGCAUUAGCUAGUUGGUGAGGUAACGUCUCACGUAGGCCGGGAUGCAUAGCCAACCGGAGAGGCGGAUAGGCGACAUUAGAACUGGAACACGGCCCAAGCGCCUGCGGGAGGCAGCAGUCGGCAAUGUUCGGCAGUAGUCGGGAGUCUUGCGGAGCAGCCCCACGUGAGUGGAGAAGGUGUUCGGAGCGUAAUGAUCUCCUGCUGGAGGAAAAUAGCUGUCAGAAGAACUGUUGGCGCCUUGACGGUACCUAACGAAGAAGCAACGGCUAACUACGUG
RNAcentral lists this ribosomal RNA (498 nucleotides) under uncultured bacterium. RNAcentral's name for it is "partial 16S ribosomal RNA". It matches the Rfam family "Bacterial small subunit ribosomal RNA", at positions 28 to 507 of the family's 1533-position model. The record is from RNAcentral.